CGCUGGCGGUAUGCUCCACACACAUGCAAGUCGAACGAAAGUUUUUAACUUUAGUGGCGGACGGGUGCGUAACACGUGAGAAUCUGCCCUUAGGAGAAAAAUAACUGCUGGAAACGGCUGCUAAAUCUUCAUAUGCCGAGAGGUGAAAUAAUUUCGAUUGCCUAAGGAUGAGCUCACGCCUGAUUAGCUAGUUGGUAAGGUAAUGGCUUACCAAGGCCACGAUCAGUAGCUGGUUUGAGAGAACGAUCAGCCACACUGGGACUGAGACACGGCCCAGACUCCUCCGGGAGGCAGCAGUGAGGAAUUUUCCGCAAUGGGCGAAAGCCUGACGGAGCAAUACCGCGUGAGGGAUGAAGGAUUUUGGUCUGUAAACCUCUUUUCUCAAGAAAGAAGUUCUGACGGUACUUGAGGAAUAAGCAUCGGCUAACUCCGUGCCAGCAGCCGCGGUAAUACGGGGGAUGCAAGCGUUAUCCGGAAUCAUUGGGCGUAAAGCGCCUGUAGGUUGUUUAAUAAGUCUGUUGUUAAAGACUAGGGCUCAACCCUAGAAAAGCAAUGGAAACUACUAGACUAGAGUAUGGCAGGGGUAGAGGGAAUUUCU
This 598-nucleotide ribosomal RNA is filed under the name uncultured bacterium. Its description in RNAcentral is "bacterial SSU rRNA". It matches the Rfam family "Bacterial small subunit ribosomal RNA", at positions 34 to 671 of the family's 1533-position model. The record is from RNAcentral.